Xyrichtys novacula (pearly razorfish) is the source of this 7519-nucleotide non-coding RNA. NCBI's taxonomy places the organism in Eukaryota, Metazoa, Chordata, Actinopteri, Labriformes, Labridae. The record is from the annotation of a GenBank genome assembly.
ACGCUCGCCGUGAUUAUCCAGUGUGGUCCCCCGGACUGUAACGAAGUUCACAAGCUCUGAAUAAUGAAGCGUUUAUGCUUUUUGUUCCACCGGCUCCUGAAAAUGAGAUACAGGAAGAAAGCAGAACCAGGGACAUAAAUCAGGGCUGACUCGUGCCUGUCAGGACCUCAAAUCCAGGAUUUCAUUUGCAGGUUGGACCUGAUUCAGUCUCAUUUAUCCUUCAGACAGGAGGGAAAAGUUAGGACAACUGUAUGUGCCUUUAACAAACAGGAGCCCAGAGAUGUCAGGACAUUUGAGGUUGUGAGAUUAUAAAACCUAAAAUCCCUGUCAGUGCUCCUGCUUGCAGAUACUUGGUAGUGGUUUGGAUUUCUUUUCAUUGAUGAAACCUAAACCCUUAAAAAGUCCCCUCUUGAUUCACCAGGACACCAAACCCACAUUUAUCUUUGUUUACUUUCCCUUUUCUUAUCCAGGAGGUGUCUGAAAACUCAACACAAAUUAACCUCCAGCGGGGAAAUUUCUCUUGAAGGCUCCCUGAAGUUGGAUCAGCGCUUGGUAAUACUGGAGAAAAUUUGGUUCACCACUUGCAGAGUUGACAGAUUUGGCUGAAACUUGGUAGACUAAACUGUCAGCUUCAUGGAUAGAAACUUUUAUUCUUCGGGGAAUGCAAAUCAGUUUUUGGAUCAUUUGACUUUGUUAAACGGUAACACAUUCAAACCAGAUUCAGUGAUCCGUCCUGCUCUUAUUAAAGGCCGUCCAAAGAGCACCUGAAUCUGGGAACUGUGUUAAGACCAGAGCCACCACGUUAAAAAAAGGGAGAAGUCUGUCCUUUGUGUUUAAAAAGUCUGAGUUCAUAUGACAUUACUGUGAAAAUGAGCACCUGUCCAUCUGUCCUCACUCAGUCUCAGUUUCAGUAUCUCUGUCUCAACUGAGUCUUAGUUUCACUGUAACUCCAUCUGCCCCCUCUUAGACUCAGUUUUUUUGGGUCUUCAUCUCUCGACUCUGUCUCAGUUUCACUGUAUUGUCAUCUGUGUCCACCGAGUCUCAGCUUAGCUGUAUCUCAAGCUUUGUCUGUUCAGUUUCAGUUUAAAAUUUCUACCAAAUCUAAGUUUAACUUUAUCCUUACCCAUCUCUACCAAGUCUCAGUUUCAUUGGAUCUGCCUAUACUAGGACUUAGUUUCACUGUUUCUCUAUCUGAAUCCAUUAAGUCUAUUUAUUUACUAUAUCUUUAUCUCCCUCCACCAGGUCUUAGUUUCAUUGUACCACCAUUAGUCUUCAUUGAGUCUUUGUUCAGUUGUAUUUCCAUCUGCCUUCAGUGAGUCUCAGUUUUACUGUAUUUUCAUCUAUCUAAACAGAGUCUAAGUUUUAAAGUGUCUCCACUCGUCUUCACCAAGUCUCUUUCUUAGUUUCUUAAUCUUUUGUCACUCAGUCUUAGUUUCAUUGUAUCAUGAACUUUAUACACAACUCAGUAUUACUGAAUCUCGACCUGUUUUUGCUGAGUCUCAGUUUCACCGUAUUUUCAUCUAGAGUGUUGAAUAGUGCCUCAGCUCCACAGAGUCUCUUUUAUCUUGAACUUUCGUCACUCAGUCUCACUUUCAUUGUACUUCUAUUAGUCUUCACUGAGUCUUUGUUCAACUGUAUCUCAAUGAGUGAGUCUCAGUUUCACUGUAUUUUCAUCUAUCUUGUUUUAUAGUGUCUCAACUGAGUCUCUUCUUUUGUUUCUUGAACUGUCGUCACUUAGUCUCAGUUUCAUUGUAUCAUGAACUCUGUACACAACUCAAUAUCUGGAUCUCUAACCCGUUUUUGCUGAGUCUCAGCUUCACUGUUUUGCCAUCCGUCUCCACUAAGUCUUAGUUUUACUGUAUCAGCAAAUCACACUCAUGUCAGCUGAAAUCUGUCUGACUACAGCUUUAUAAAGCCUAAAAUGACAGAUUUUAUUAGCUGAAAGGACCCUGAAAGAACUGCAUCAUGUUGCUGAUUUAAAACAAAAAACAAAUUCAGGAUUGGACAGGUCUGUCUGCAAGCAGCAAACACUUUAAACAUUUUUUUCUGUCUUUUUUAACUGCUUCUGAUUAAUUAUAUUGACACAGUUCAGCUGCUUUUGUGUACACAAAGUGAAAAACUUGGUUGAGCUUCACUCGCGUUGAAAAGUGAAACUUUUAGGAAAAAGCAGAUGACGCAUAUAUUCAUGCUCUCAUGUUGCAUGGAUCUAUUCUUAGCGUUGACUUUGGUCUGAAAACAGUAUGACAGAGUGUUUUUUAAUAUCGUGAUGGUGUUUUGACUUAAUGAAAGGAUUUCAGCACUUCGCUCUGCCGUCCUCUCGUCUCCUGUCCAGGAUGAAGACGCCAUAUCAGAUUUAAAUUUGGAUCUUUCAUGUGAUGAAACAUGUUGAGCAGCUUCCCUGGACUCUGUGAGCUGUACCAACUUAAAAGAGAAGAAACAGAUCCAGUGAUUUAUUUCAGCAGACAGCUCUGCAUGAGUUCACUGUCUGACCUAAACUGCAGCAUUAAGCUCAACCGGUUCACAUUUAACUAUUAGCCCCGGAAAAAUGAGAGUGGAGGUGGAGGGGAGGACUGUAAUUGGAGGGACCUCCACGCUGCCAAACAUGUCAACACGCCUGUUAAAGCUCCAGAUGUCGGGGCUUUGAUCCGGGUUUACGCGCCUCACCUUCCCUGAUUGUCUCAGAGGCUGUUGACGAGGUUUUCCUGCCUGCCGGCCUGAAUCUUCUUCAUCCUCAGCUCAGCAUCAUCAUCCUCAUCAUCAUCCUGAGUUUAAGUUACUUCAAAGUGAGACUCGGUUAAUCCUGAUGCCAGAAAAUGAAAUAUUUAGAGUGAGUUUUUCAGCAGUUUUGAUGUUCCUGUGAUAAUCUUCCAAAAAGUCUCAGUUUUCUGACUUUUACCUGCUGCAACCUGAUGAUGGUUCACCCUGAAUUAUGGCAGGACUUCUGCCGCGUUCCAAUUACCUCAGAAGUUGGAUGUAGGAGCUGGGAAUGACGUUAUACCCAAGCUCAUGGCGUUCAAGUAAACAAGUCAGAAAACCAAGAUGGACGCCUACCGUUGUAAACAAUUGUCAGCUGUUGUUAGCCGUUGUCAGCUGUUGUUAGUUGUCGUUAGAUAUACCAGUUGUAAACAACGCAUAACAGUAUUUUACUCUUACAAACACCAUAGCACCGUGUUCACAGUUAGAUGUUGGGCAGAACAACAUAAACCACUUCUUUAAUUUCACAAAAACAAAACAGAAAUGAGAAUAAAUAAUACAAGAGGUUUCACCUUUACCCAGGAUUUCCACCACAUCCAGAACGGCGGCGAUUUUCGCUGUACGCCUACUGGAUCCGUUUGUGAGGCGAAUUUCGUGGCAGAUUACAGACGAUAACAAGUUGUCUUUAGCCACAGAGGCCAACCAUAUAAGCAGUAGAUUGCCCGUCUGUGUCUGUGCUCGACUUCCUUUCCAGCACGGGUUAAUCUGUGCUGAAUUUAUCCGGCAUCCAGAAAAAAUAGAACUUUUGCAAUCAGCUGGGGAGUCCAGCGAUCCAAAGUGGAACGGAAAGAAGUCGGUGGAAAUCGACACAUUAACUUGAAUGGUUACGAUCAGCUAUGAUUGGCGGAUAUGGCCUUUUCGUAGCUGGAUGCGGUGGAAAUUGGGGGUUACUCUUUACUGAUGAUGCACUUCGCUGCCAUCUUGGACUAUGUCGCUGUCGUCAAGUUGGGACUGGUGAGGAUCAUCCUACUUUCCAAAAUUGGAAAUCGGACUUCAGGGGGGCGUUCCAGAUGAAUUACCGACUCGUCGCUUAGAAAUUUGGACUUCUGACUACAACUGGAGUGCAGCAUUCAACAAACUAACAAACAAGUUUAACUUUAACAAACAAAAAAAACCAAUAAGGCUUCAGAUCAGACUUUCUUUGAGUGAACAUUUUGACCUGUUUUGGUGGUUUGAGUGGCACAAUAGAUGCUGCUUUACCACAAACACUCAAACAUAUGUCCUGGUGACUAAUGGACAUUUAGAUCUGUCACUCUGGACCACAUCUGACCCAAAUUACUCAUCUCAAGUGUCUACUGAGGCUGACAUGGAUGAUUCAUGCCUCCAUCCUGUCAAGAGUUCCAGCAGAAAGUGUGAUUGUGAAGGUACAGAGAUCCACUGUAAAGGGUAAACAAAUCAUCAUUUCUUCUGCGUGUGGAUUCACAAUGAUGCUCUUCAUUGUUGGGGACUGGCUGGGUUCAAAGUCUCUGGGCGUCACCACCGCCUUCAUCCUCCUCCUCAUCAAACACCGAGACAGAUCCUCCUCCCCCUCCUCUCUCAGCGCUCUCACUUCGUCAUUUUCAUUUGCCAUCCCAAUUUGUUUUGAGGCCGCUAAGGCAUGUCUUUGGUUUGCCUCAGUGAAGCUGUUAACACGUAGCAGAUUUUUACACGCUGCCAUUAAAAGCCACACUCUUUAAAAAAGGCCCGUUUUUAUUUUUAGCAUGUCUCCGCUGAAAAAGAAAAAGGAAAAGUGGCUUUGGAUCGGCUGAAAGCUUCAGAGGGACUGCCAAAGGUCCGCUCAAACUUUUAUGGCUGAGCAGCCAAAUCCUGCACUUAAGCAGGACAAUCCCCCAUUAUGAGGCGCUCUUUAAUACCGUCAGGCUCUGCUCAGAUGCCCACCCACCUCCACCAAUUACACCCCCAACCCCCCCAAACCUUCCAGCUCUCUACUGAGACAAUGUAAUUAUGAGAAAACGCUGCUAAAACUUAAAACAGACGGCCUUUUUUCAUCAUCUGGCUCUGGCUUUGAGGCCCCUCCAUCCAUCCACCCACCGAGCAGCACCAAAAACCCCCCGAACCUCCACCCAGCACCAUCAUCUGACACCCAGACUCUGAUCCAGUGUCUGUGGAGCAGCGACAGUCUAAUAUGUGGUCAGAGAGACCGCGGAGUGUGUGAACUGACAUAUUCUUGUGUUUAACAUCUGACACCAGAAGAUAAACAGGCGAGAACCACGAUUGAACUUUCCAAAUAAACUGUCCCCAGAGGGCCGUUCGACUCCCUUUGUCAUCCAUCUAAAAAUGUCAGAGCUUUUGUCAGAGUCCUCGCCGGAGUUUUAAACUUGACACGAACAAACAGUCGGGAAAAUCCAAAAGAUUACAUAAAGUAUUCAGAGAAGUAUUACAUAUAUUAAAAACGUUUUAUGACAUGAAUAAAGAUUUAACGGGCAUGUGCUGUAUGAAACUUCAUGUUGAACCCUGCUCCUUUAUAGUCUGCAUUUAUGUAACUCUAUAUCAUCAUACUCUUGGUUUGAUGCCCAGAAACAUCAGCGCUUUGAACCGGCGUGUUUUCUACUUGCCCAGCAGGGGGCGAUUACACUGGUAUGAUGUAUAGAAAUCCAUAAGGAAGUCUUGAGUGAAGAUUUUCCUAAUGAGCCUCAGUCUCGAGUUAAUAGUCUUCUUUAAUAGAGCAUGAUAUUCAUGUAGGAAGUUCUGGUCCAUUUAGAGUCACAGAGACCAGAAAGCAGGGAGGGAGUGCACCAGAACCAGAAGCGCCUACACGAAAGCGGUCAGCCAUCAUUCCCAAUCCCAUUUGAGUUUCAUUCCUUAUUAUUUGUAAUUUUCUAUUAUAUUUAAAUCAUUGUGCUCAAAUCUCCUUCUCAUGUUUUUUAUUGUAUUUGGCACUUUUUCCAAUGAACUCUUGACCCGAGUGUUGCUGGGAAGUCAGCGACACCUUCAGUGCUGUAUCCAGGGACAGGUUUUUGCGACCCUUGCAAAGUGGUUCUUUAGAUGUUCUCAACUUAAACCAAAUUUAAACAAGCGCACCUGCCCAGAAGUAGCGCCAAGUUUAUGCUACGUUCCAGUUGUACUCCAAAGUCGGAAAUUCCAAGUUCCGAGUCGGAAAUUCAUCUGGAAUGCCCUCCUGAAGUCGGAUUUCCAACUCUGAAAGUCCUCACCAGUCCUCACCAUCCUCGCCCUCCCGACUUGACGACAACGUCAUAAUCCAAGAUGGUAGCGCAACGCAUCAACAGUAAAGAGUAACAGUGAAAGCUCUUGUAAUUUAUUAUUUAUUCGCACUUCUGUUUAUGUUUUUGUGAAAUGAAAUAAGUGGUUUAUGUUGUACUACCCAACGUCUAACUGUGAACACGGUGCUAUGGUGUUUGUAAGAGUAAAAUACUCUGUUAAGCGUUGUUUACAACUGGUAAAGCUAACAACAACAGCUAACAACAGCUUACUGUUGGCGUCCAUCUUGGUUUUCCAACUUGUUUCAUUCCCAGCUCCGACAUCAGACUUCUGAGGUAACUGGAACGCAGCAUUACUUUGGGCGGGUAAGGGGGAUUUUCUCAGAGUGCAUUCCCUCAUCUGCACCAAACUGAAGGUCCUGCACCCAAAUGGUUCAGUCCAGUACAAUCUGUGCAUUUUUCCACUCCUGGUUCACUUCGAUGUACCAGAAUAAUGAUGAUUGGACGCUUCUUUUGCCUCUUCUGCUUGACUGCAACUUCAUUAAGGAAUUUGACAAGAAACUUUUAGUGUUGCUGUAACGUUUGUUUGAUUUUAUGUGGAAACUUUUCUGCAUGUAAUGUUGAAAUAACUGCACUCUGUCAAAUGUAAGCUCCCUCUACAUGGCCAGUGAGAGUUAUGUGCAACCGACUCACCUGCACAACACCACUCAGGUAUUCAUGGUGCAUUGCAAUUUCCCUCAAAUUUCAGUGUGAGCAAGCUCUUUCUAAAUCACAGCUGAAACAGAGAUCUCACCGUCUAUCCUCUGGUUUGUGUCAUCAUUGUGCAGACAGUGACUUGGAUUAUUCAAUAGAUGCAAAGGAGUAAAAAGAAAAGCAGUAAAAUCUCUAAACUGUCUCAAAGUUGAGCUUAUAAGUGUCUUCUGUCUGUGGUAUCCACCUGGAUCCAUGAGCCGACUGCUGAGUUUGACUUUGAAAGUCUUUCUUUGGAGGAUAAAUGUCUGCACACAGUAAUAUUUAUAGCAGGGUUCCUGUUUAAAAGUCAAAUAAUAAUACAGCACACAUUGAUUCCCACAGUGUCCGGAGACAAUAGACCAUUUAUUGAUGGGAAAACCAUAAACAAGCAGCCUGUCUGUAAAAAUACUUUGAGCCUGGAUCGCAGCGCUUUGAGUGACUCAUGGAAAGUAUGGAUGGGAAAAAUAACACACAACAAAGGGCUAAUUCACAAUAGAAAGCAGACAAAAAAAAGGGAAAAAUGCUGAGAAAACGCACAACAGAUGGAGGCUGUAAUCAAUACUGCAGAGCAGCUUCACAUCUGCAUCAGCCUGCAGGGAGAGGAAGCAUCUUUCCAUCUGUGAGAAAACCAGAGAUCCACACUCUGAGGGUCCGAUCACGGGAGAGGGGGACCGUCUGCUGGUAACAUCACCAUGAAUAAAUACCUGAACAGUAGGUUUCUCUGCAGAGGAGCAAAACAGUCAGAUACAGUGAAGGUUUCAGCUUUUUCUGAGCGUCCAGGGUCGGUACCAGCCAAGAGAUCUAAAUGAGAGCAUGUCGCGGGUCCAAACCUGCGGAGCCAAUCCCAAACAGAGCUGUGGAAAAUCCACUCCAAC